Molecule: ribosomal RNA, 502 nt
Filed under: uncultured Glomeromycotina
Lineage: Eukaryota; Fungi; Glomeromycota
Description: partial small subunit ribosomal RNA
Rfam family: Eukaryotic small subunit ribosomal RNA
Source: RNAcentral
CCAAUAGCGUAUAUUAAAGUUGUUGCAGUUAAAAAGCUCGUAGUUGAAUUUCGGGGUCUAUCCAUUGGUCGGGCUUUAUUGUCCGUACUGGUGGGAUGGGUUCCUACCUUCUGAAUAACCGGCAUGCCAUUCAUUUGGUGCGUCGGGGAAGCAGAGCUAUUACCUUGAAAAAAUUAGAGUGCUUAAAGCAGGCUAGUGCUUGAAUAGAUUAGCAUGGAAUAAUAAAAUAGGACGGCAUGGUUCUAUUUUGUUGGUUUCUAGGAUCACCGUAAUGAUUAAUAGGGAUAGUUGGGGGCAUUAGUAUUCAAUUGUCAGAGGUGAAAUUCUUGGAUUUAUUGAAGACUAACUUCUGCGAAAGCAUUUGCCAAGGAUGUUUUCAUUAAUCAAGAACGAAAGUUAGGGGAUCGAAGACGAUCAGAUACCGUCGUAGUCUUAACCAUAAACUAUGCCGACUAGGGAUCGGACGAAGUUAAUUUUUUAAUGACUCGUUCGGCGCCUUACG